This 74-nucleotide transfer RNA is filed under the name Danionella translucida. It matches the Rfam family "tRNA". Rfam says of the family: Transfer RNA (tRNA) molecules are approximately 80 nucleotides in length. Their secondary structure includes four short double-helical elements and three loops (D, anti-codon, and T loops). RNAcentral also lists the same sequence under 1 other name. Lineage: Eukaryota; Metazoa; Chordata; Actinopteri; Cypriniformes; Danionidae. The record is from Rfam by way of RNAcentral.
GGCGCCGUGGCUUAGUCGGUUAAAGUGCCUGUCUAGUAAAAUGGAGAUCCUUGGUUCAAAUCCCAGCGGUGCCU